AGCACCCGGGGCGCCGCGUGGCGCGCCCGGGUAUCAGAACAGACACCGUGCCGGGGGAAGAAACCGGGCACAUCAGGGCGUU
This 82-nucleotide small RNA is filed under the name Streptomyces xinghaiensis. RNAcentral's name for it is "nrdJ RNA". It matches the Rfam family "nrdJ RNA". Lineage: Bacteria; Bacillati; Actinomycetota; Actinomycetes; Kitasatosporales; Streptomycetaceae. The record is from Rfam by way of RNAcentral.